GACGAACGCUGGCGGCGUGCUUAACACAUGCAAGUCGAACGGAAAGGCCCUGCUUUUGUGGGGGGCUCGAGUGGCGAACGGGUGAUUAACACGUGAGUAACCUGCCCUUGACUUUGGGAUAACUUCAGGAAACUGGGGCUAAUACCGGAUAGGAGCUCCUGCUGCAUGGUGGGGGUUGGAAAGUUUCGGCGGGUGGGGAUGGACUCGCGGCUUAUCAGCUUGUUGUUGGGGUAGUGGCUUACCAAGGCUUUGACUGGUAGCCGGCCUGAGAGGGUGACCGGCCACAUUGGGACUGGGAUACGGCCCAGACUCCUACGGGAGGCAGCAGUGGGGAAUAUUGCACAAUGGGCGGAAGCCUGAUGCAGCAACGCCGCGUGCGGGAUGACGGCCUUCGGGUUGUAAACCGCUUUCGCCUGUGACGAAGCGUGAGUGACGGUAAUGGGUAAAGAAGCACCGGCUAACUACGUG
This 468-nucleotide ribosomal RNA is filed under the name uncultured bacterium. RNAcentral's name for it is "partial 16S ribosomal RNA". It matches the Rfam family "Bacterial small subunit ribosomal RNA", at positions 28 to 507 of the family's 1533-position model. The record is from RNAcentral.